UGCCGCCAUACUGCGUUUCCAGAGGCGGAGUAACUUGCCUUUGGAUUCAUUUACAGACCCACUUUGCUUACCAAAAUCAUCAUGAGAUGCAGAUCCGUUUGUUAUCCUUCCAUGCGUUGUGGUCCUGGUUUAGAUACGGAUGAAGUGACCUUUGAAAAAUUCGCCAGUUCCUUCCAGGUCUCGAAUAUCUCUGUCAAACCUUCUGUAUGUUUUUAUUUGAUACAAGCUCAAUAAUUGAGUUUGUCGAAGUUUGUUUUCAGUUUAUUCUAUGUAUUAUUAUUCUGUUUAUUCAAUAAUACGUUUAAUCUUACUGUUGUGGGUCGUGAAAGAUUUCCAGAAAUGACUACCGCGCUUUGAAACGUAUACAAAAGUGUUGCUCAAGAAUUUCACUUUUAAAAUG
This 400-nucleotide long non-coding RNA is filed under the name Lepisosteus oculatus (spotted gar). Its description in RNAcentral is "lncRNA (ENSLOCG00000022523.1)". Lineage: Eukaryota; Metazoa; Chordata; Actinopteri; Semionotiformes; Lepisosteidae. The record is from RNAcentral.